RNAcentral lists this signal recognition particle RNA (330 nucleotides) under Candidatus Bathyarchaeota archaeon. RNAcentral's name for it is "signal recognition particle sRNA". It matches the Rfam family "Archaeal signal recognition particle RNA". The record is from RNAcentral. Lineage: Archaea; Thermoproteati; Candidatus Bathyarchaeota.
UGGCGGGUCUUAGGCGGGGGGCUAGGGGUCCCUUGAGAAGCUUACGCUUCGACCGUAAACCCUCUAUACGACGGGCUAACAGCCUAGGUGAGGCGUCAAAGAUCGUCAAGUUCCUCUAGCUCUCUAACCAUGAGUAUCCGUUCCUUGGGGCUGGCGGUCGUGGAGCGGCUUUCGUAGGGAAGCCGUGGACCGCGUUUGCCAGGCAAACCUAGCCAGGCCCGGGAGGGAGCAACCUAAGCUUGAACGUUCAGCGCUCAGGGGAGUGCGGGUAUGAGCAAAGAGGUUAGAGGGCUCGGCGAAAACUGGGCGUCCAGCCUCGGUGACCCGCCG